This is a long non-coding RNA of Symphalangus syndactylus (siamang), 630 nucleotides long. RefSeq lists it as uncharacterized. Lineage: Eukaryota; Metazoa; Chordata; Mammalia; Primates; Hylobatidae. The record is from RefSeq and is a predicted model, not a curated record.
CAGGAGACUCUGAGAGCAGUGAAACGAUUCUGUCUGAUCCCAUCCUGGUGGAUGCAUGUCAUUCAUUAUGCAUUCGUCAAAACCAAGUGUCCAACACAAACAAUAAACCCUACGAUUCUUCAAGUAACUGCACUCCUUGGAAUGGCCAACCCAGUCCCAUCUGCCCUUGAUUACUUAAUGUGCAGCCACCGGCGAGUUCAAAGUGACUUUUCCACAGUGAAGAUGGAAGCACACCUGGGCGGCGGAACGAGUGAUGUGGGCUCAGCUCACACAACUUCUCACACAGGGAUCUCACAGGCAGCAGAAAGAAGGAAGUCCCUCCCCGCAAGAAGGCUUGGGAAGGACAGUCUCCGUGCUCCAGGAGACUCUGCACUUUAAGGAAGAUUCCUUCCUGCUCUCGCUUAUCUUUUUUAGUUUUUUUCUAAGUAUCUUUUUGCUGAUUAACUCCACUCUGCCAAUAGUGAGUCCUCUCAAAGGACUCCAAGUUCCCACAGUGCAUAUGUAUCCAAUUUUAUUGCUUUGCACUUGAUAUAUGGCUUUGUAACUGCUCAAGGCAUAUUUUUGUGAACAUUAUGUUUCUGUCUCCCAUACUCUACUCAAGCUUCUUAACAAUAAAAAUCAUGCCCUGCC